This is a long non-coding RNA of Cannabis sativa, 1189 nucleotides long. RefSeq lists it as uncharacterized. The transcript has 2 exons. Lineage: Eukaryota; Viridiplantae; Streptophyta; Magnoliopsida; Rosales; Cannabaceae. The record is from RefSeq and is a predicted model, not a curated record.
CGUUUGAUUGUCGUUCACAAAUGAUUUUUCCAUUUUUGGGUCUUCGUCCGUUUUCCCCAGUUUCAAUGUUUUGAUACCCUUUUUUUCUGUUCUGAAAAUUGUCUCUGCUGCCUGCUCGGUGGGUUUGGGUCCGUGGGUGUGUUUUCUUUUUGUUCUGUUUUGGCAAAUGAGUUCAGAUUUUUGUUUUUUCGAAGGUGGGCUUUGAUUUUCAGUUGGGAUUCUGUUUAUGGCUGGAAAUGGUAUCUACACUGCCAGAAUAUACUGAAUCACUUCGUGGGUUCAAAUGUUUCACUUAGACAGUUCUGAAAAAAUUUCUCCCUUUUACUCUUUUAUAAUUUCAUCUAUCUGGGUAGAUGGGAAAAGUUCCAUUACGGAUAUUUAAAGGAACUGAGAAGUGUAAGCAACUCUUCCUAGCUGUAGUUUAGAAUACAAAAAGGAAAAAUUCCUUUUAAAGGUUUGAGUUUGGAUACUGGGAAAGUGACUGGAAUGAAAAGCUAAUGUUGAGCUUAUUCCGUUUGGUGUAUGAAAAGCUCGGAGAAAAAGUAGCUGAUUCUUGAAUUUUGGGUUGAGAGCUGAAGUUUCAUCACCUGGAUUUAGAAAAACUUUUUCAUCUCUUUCUCGUCCUUGGAAGGAGCUUCGGAUCUCGACGGCAGUGGGUAGUGGACGACUGGGAAGCAGCUUCGGAUCUCGACGGCGGGCGGGCUGGAGCUAUGGACAGUGGUCCAUUCUCUCUUUCCCUACUCCUUUAAGUAUAUCUCUCUUUAGAUCUAAUUGGUUUCCUCCCUUGUUUAUUCUCAUCUGUGUAUAUAUACGUAUUAGUUUAUAUAUGUUUGAUUUUUCUUUUUUUGGUCAAAACAAUGGUGGUGUUCUGGAUAUUUGUUCUCAUUUCAAAUCUGUCUCUCUCUGAAAUUUGCACAAGGAAAAGAAAAUAGUACUGAGAUUAGGGUGUUAUAAUUUUUGUUUGCUUAAUUAGAUUUAAGUUUUCCCUAGCCCAAAAAAAAAAGAGAUUUUAAGUUUUUGUUGACGAUUUGGUUAGCAGAUGCAAUAGACGGGGUUCGGAGUGUGGCUGGAAGAAAAAGACGAGGUGAGGAGGGGGUCGGGCUAGAGGAAGAAGACGAAGAAGAAUAAGAAGAAAAAUGAAAAAAAGAAAAACAACAAAUAAAAUAAAAUAAAUUAUAAAUUUAAAAUA